AUCACUUCUCGGCCUUUUACCUAAGAUCAAGUGUAUUAUCUGUUCUUAUCAGUUUAACAUUUGGUAAAUUCUAUAUCUGAGGACAGUAUGUUAGAUGGGUUUUUGGAGCAGGGAGGUGGAAUAGGAGCUUGUUCUGUCCACUUCACGUAUCGACAGGAACGGUUCACUUCCUUGAGGGAUACAAUGUCU
Molecule: small nuclear RNA, 189 nt
Organism: Colobus angolensis palliatus
Lineage: Eukaryota; Metazoa; Chordata; Mammalia; Primates; Cercopithecidae
Gene: U2
Rfam family: U2 spliceosomal RNA
About the family: U2 is a small nuclear RNA (snRNA) component of the spliceosome (involved in pre-mRNA splicing).
Source: Ensembl